CGGGUGGAGGAAUACAUCGGAAUCUACUCUGUCGGUGGGGGAUAACGUAGGGAAACUUACGCUAAUACCGCAUACGACCUACGGGUGAAAGCAGGGGAUCUUCGGACCUUGCGCGAUUGAAUGAGCCGAUGUCGGAUUAGCUAGUUGGCGGGGUAAAGGCCCACCAAGGCGACGAUCCGUAGCUGGUCUGAGAGGAUGAUCAGCCACACUGGAACUGAGACACGGUCCAGACUCCUACGGGAGGCAGCAGCC
This 252-nucleotide ribosomal RNA is filed under the name uncultured Stenotrophomonas sp. Its description in RNAcentral is "partial 16S ribosomal RNA". It matches the Rfam family "Bacterial small subunit ribosomal RNA", at positions 100 to 355 of the family's 1533-position model. The record is from RNAcentral. Lineage: Bacteria; Pseudomonadati; Pseudomonadota; Gammaproteobacteria; Lysobacterales; Lysobacteraceae.